CACAGCGUGAAUACCAGCAAAGGCUGU
Molecule: small RNA, 27 nt
Filed under: Bombyx mori (domestic silkworm)
Lineage: Eukaryota; Metazoa; Arthropoda; Insecta; Lepidoptera; Bombycidae
Description: ovarian small RNA-12912
Source: RNAcentral